This 465-nucleotide ribosomal RNA is filed under the name Vreelandella stevensii. RNAcentral's name for it is "partial 16S ribosomal RNA". It matches the Rfam family "Bacterial small subunit ribosomal RNA", at positions 338 to 795 of the family's 1533-position model. Lineage: Bacteria; Pseudomonadati; Pseudomonadota; Gammaproteobacteria; Oceanospirillales; Halomonadaceae. The record is from RNAcentral.
CCUACGGGUGGCAGCAGUGGGGAAUAUUGGACAAUGGGGGCAACCCUGAUCCAGCCAUGCCGCGUGUGUGAAGAAGGCCCUCGGGUUGUAAAGCACUUUCAGUGAGGAAGAACGCCUGGUGGUUAAUACCCAUCAGGAAAGACAUCACUCACAGAAGAAGCACCGGCUAACUCCGUGCCAGCAGCCGCGGUAAUACGGAGGGUGCGAGCGUUAAUCGGAAUUACUGGGCGUAAAGCGCGCGUAGGUGGCUUGAUAAGCCGGUUGUGAAAGCCCCGGGCUCAACCUGGGAACGGCAUCCGGAACUGUCAAGCUAGAGUGCAGGAGAGGAAGGUAGAAUUCCCGGUGUAGCGGUGAAAUGCGUAGAGAUCGGGAGGAAUACCUGUGGCGAAGGCGGCCUUCUGGACUGACACUGACACUGAGGUGCGAAAGCGUGGGUAGCAAACAGGAUUAGAUACCCCUGUAGUC